This 293-nucleotide long non-coding RNA is filed under the name Marmota monax (woodchuck). The record is from RNAcentral. Lineage: Eukaryota; Metazoa; Chordata; Mammalia; Rodentia; Sciuridae.
CCGAAAGUCUGUUUUCAGCAUUGUGGGUGGGCCAGUAUUACAGGACACAGCCAAAAUAUGGAAUGGAGGGCUUACUAACUUCAUCGAUUGAUACAACACUUUUGGAGAUUCUACAAUACACAGGCAGUGUGCGCUCACUGUGAAGAAAUCUCAGGAAGGUCAGACAUGGGCUUAUCACUGUGGACUCCUAGCACAGCAACAGAGAACACAGGCCCCAGUACAAGCCUCGGCACAAGAGAACAAGGUAAUCCCCCAAGAGCUAUGUGGGGGCAAUGGGAAAAUUACUCUCUGAC